AUUGAACGCUGGCGGCAGGCCUAACACAUGCAAGUCGAACGGUAGCACAGAGAGCUUGCUCUCGGGUGACGAGUGGCGGACGGGUGAGUAACGUCUGGGAAACUGCCCGAUGGAGGGGGAUAACUACUGGAAACGGUAGCUAAUACCGCAUAACGUCGCAAGACCAAAGUGGGGGACCUUCGGGCCUCACACCAUCGGAUGUGCCCAGAUGGGAUUAGUUAGUAGGUGGGGUAAUGGCUCACCUAGGCGACGAUCCCUAGCUGGUCUGAGAAGCAGACCAGCCAAACUGGAACUGAGACACGGGCCAGACUCCUCCGGGAGGCAGCAGUGGGGAAUAUUGCACAAUGGGCGCAAGCCUGAUGCAGCCAUGCCGCGUGUAUGAAGAAGGCCUUCGGGUUGUAAAGUACUUUCAGCGGGGAGGAAGGCGGUGAAGUUAAUAACUUCACCGAUUGACGUUACCCGCAGAAGAAGCACCGGCUAACUCCGUGCCAGCAGCCGCCGUAA
RNAcentral lists this ribosomal RNA (504 nucleotides) under uncultured bacterium. RNAcentral's name for it is "partial 16S ribosomal RNA". It matches the Rfam family "Bacterial small subunit ribosomal RNA", at positions 30 to 523 of the family's 1533-position model. The record is from RNAcentral.